This 700-nucleotide ribosomal RNA is filed under the name uncultured bacterium. RNAcentral describes it as "bacterial SSU rRNA". It matches the Rfam family "Bacterial small subunit ribosomal RNA", at positions 94 to 828 of the family's 1533-position model. The record is from RNAcentral.
AGUGGCGGACGGGUGAGUAACACGUAAGAAUUUGCCUUUAGGAGGGGGACAACAACUGGAAACGGUUGCUAAUACCCCAUAUGCUUUCGAGUAAAAUGGAUUUCCGCCUAAAGAGAAGCUUGCGGCUGAUUAGCUUGUUGGUAGGGUAAUGGCCUACCAAGGCGACGAUCGAUAUCUGGUUUGAGAGGACGAUCAGACACACUGGAACUGAGGCACGGUCCAGACUCCUACGGGAGGCAGCAGUAGGGAAUCUUCCGCAAUGGGCGAAAGCCUGACGGAGCAAUACCGCGAGGGAUGAAUGCCUAUGGGUUGUAAACCUCUUUUUUCAGGGAGGAAUAAAUGACGUGUACCUGAAGAAUAAGCAUCGGCUAACUCCGUGCCAGCAGCCGCGGUAAGACGGAGGAUGCAAGUGUUAUCCGGAAUCACUGGGCGUAAAGCGUCUGUAGGUGGCUUAAUAAGUCAACUGUUAAAUCUUGAAGCUCAACUUCAAAAUCGCAGUCGAAACUAUUAGACUAGAGUAUAGUAGAGGUAAAGGGAAUUUCCAGUGGAGCGGUGAAAUGCGUAGAGAUUGGAAAGAACACCGAUGGCGAAGGCACUUUACUGGGCUAUUACUGACACUCAGAGACGAAAGCUAGGGUAGCAAAUGGGAUUAGAUACCCCAGUAGUCCUAGCCGUAAACAAUGGAUACUAGGUGUUGAAC